Molecule: long non-coding RNA, 817 nt
Organism: Scylla paramamosain (green mud crab)
Lineage: Eukaryota; Metazoa; Arthropoda; Malacostraca; Decapoda; Portunidae
Exons: 3
Source: RefSeq, a predicted model, not a curated record
AUUAAGAAACACAUGAGCCAGCCAGUCUGGAGCCUGCCCGGUUGCACUUUUGUUGUGAGCCAGCUGCCAGUCGUCAGUCGUCAGUCCUUGGUUGAACUUCGUUCACGGUGGGUGUGCUCUCAACCCUGGCACAGAGAAAUAGGUAAUAUUGUGUCGACACAUUAGAGGCAGAGAAUGACGCGACCAGUGGUGGUGCUAGUGGUGCUGGUGCUGAUAGCAGCGGCAGGUCUACCUUUGGGUCAGACUCGGACGACGGGAAGUUGUAAUGGCGCGUGUCAGCGCCUGGACGGAAAUGGACUCUGCCGAACAAUAUACAACUGUCGAUCAAACACCGAUGGAGGAGAAGCCUUGGGCUCCAUAUUUGGAUCGACACCCUGCAGGCGACGGUGCUAUGCUUUCGUCCGGGGCCGGUGUCGCCUCAAGUUUUCUUGCCUGCUGGGGUAGCUGCAGGCCCCCGCUUGUUCCUGGGAAUGAGUGUGGCGUGUACUCAAGUAACCCAGCAGUAUUCCAACGUGUUAUUUGUUCACAAGUAUACCGAUAAUUUUACAUGAGUAGCAAGGUAACAGUAAAACAGCAUGAAACUAGAUGUUUAAUUAAAUGCGCAUUUAUUGAAUUAAGACAGCAAUAUUUAGCCUAUUUAAAGGCUAUAACAUUUAACUGUAACAGUGAUAAUACUGUACGUAAUUAUUUAACAUUAUUUAGUUGCAAUAUAUUCACGCUGCUUUCUUUAUAACAUGGGUAUUAAGCAACCUUACCAACUGGUUUCAAAAAUUCACAAUUAUCUGUUAAAAGUCUUAAAUAAAAUGGAUAAACCAUC